GACGAACCGUGCGAACGUUAUUCGGAAUCACUGGGCUUAAAGGGAGCGUAGGCGGGCUAUCAAGUCUGGGGUGAAAUCCCACGGCUCAACCGUGGAACUGCCUCAGAUACUGACGGCCUCGAGGGAGAUAGGGGCAUGCGGAACUGUAGGUGGAGCGGUGAAAUGCGUUGAUAUCUACAGGAACUCCGGUGGCGAAAGCGGCGUGCUGGAUCUCUUCCGACGCUGAGGCUCGAAAGCUAGGGGAGCAAACGGG
Molecule: ribosomal RNA, 253 nt
Filed under: uncultured bacterium
Lineage: Bacteria
Description: partial 16S ribosomal RNA
Rfam family: Bacterial small subunit ribosomal RNA
Source: RNAcentral